AUGAAAGAAAUGAUAUAUGAAAACUACUACCUAGAUUUUCCAGGUGCUAUUGCAAAAUGCCUUUGUGUGAAAACAUUUCAAAAUGGAUGUAAAGUCCAAGAAGAGUCUCUGGUUUUAAAAGGAGCAUUUGUGGGAUACUCUGAUUUUUCACGAGGUACCACGCUGGAAAAACCUAUGAAGAAUUUCAUCAUUAUUAUUAUUAUUAUUAUUAUUAUUACAAAAGGCUUUAAGUGUUUGUAUCUGAACCGUAUGUUCUCAGUUAACACAUAUUCUUUUGAAAUUGCUACUUAUGAGCUGGAGCAUAGUAGAAAAUACUGUUUGAAAUACAUUGUACAAAAAAAAGUAAGGUGUAAGUAGAUUGCUGGUAAUUUAGGGAAUGUGAUAUGUUAUUUAGUUAACCCAUCUCUCUCCCUUUCAACAGCUAUAUAUUAACAACAUCUAAAGACAUCAGUCUUUAGACUGAUUUGAUCUAUAUAUUGGCAGUUUUAUCAGAUCUAGUGAGUCUGAGCUAGAGGGAAGGAGAUUUUUUAUUUUAUUUUAUUAUUAUUUUAUUUUAUUUUAUUUUAUAUUUAAUAAUAAAUUUAUUUUUUAUUGGCAUUCAAUUUGCCAACAUACAGAAUAACACCCAGUGCUCAUCCUGUCAAGUGCCCCCCUCAGUGCCCAUCACCCACUCAUCCCCACUCCCCACCCUCCUCCCCUUCCACCACCCCUAGUUCGUUUCCCAGAGUUAGAGUCUUCAUGUUCUGUCUCUCUUUCUGAUAUUUCCUACCCAUUUUUUCUCCCUUCCCUUAUAUUCCUUUUCACUAUUAUUUAUAUUCCCCAAAUGAAUGAGACCAUAUAAUGUUUGUCCUUCUCCAAUUGACUUAUUUCACUCAGCAUAAUACCCUCCAGUUCCAUCCAUGUUGAAGCAAAUGGUGGGUAUUUGUCAUUUCUAAUGCCUGAGUAAUAUUCCAUCGUUAUACAUAAACCACAUCUUCUUUAUACAUUCAUCUUUCGAGGGAAGGAGAUUUUAAAGAGAAAGAAAUUCUAAGCCCAAUAAAUGUAAUUUCAAAUGUAGAAUUGACUAAUUUAAUUAAUUAUGACUUCCUUUCCCUGAAUUUUGAGAGGUUUAGUACACAUUAUGGGGAACAAUUUUUAGGGGAUUUGUGCCUCAUAUAGAAGCUUGAGUAUAUGGCUUACCAUAACUCUUCUAUCUUGUUAUUUUACCUAAAUAAGGAACCUCACAUCAAAAGGCUUUGAUAUAUUCUAGCCUACUUCAAUUCUCAUCAUUCCCUUCCCUCCAUAAUCUCUGUAUCACAUAUACCAAAUGACUGAUAGCAAAUAUUAUAGUCCAAAUGCAGCUUUUUGGAGUAAAGGAGAGGUCUUUAAAGAUGAUGUUUUAAGAGACCUCAAAUUCUCCUCCUCCCAUGGGUACCCCAAAUUAAGAGCUACAGACAGUGCAACUCCCUCUAAAAGAAAACAAGAAACUGAGUAACUUUACCCAAUGCACAAAUGAGAAAAUAUCCACAUUAAAUCAGAAGAAAAACUAAGACACAACUUUGCUAUAAACCCCACCCUGGGCACAGGGACAUAUAGUUGGGAGGGAUCCCCUGGCUCCCAGCCUCUCCAUGAGAAGUGAAAGCUUUAUACCCACAUCCAAUGUCCCAACAUUUAAUAGUCCCACUAAGGGGCUGACUUCCAAAUCCUCCCCCUCCAAAGCCAAUUAGUCUUAAAUCACAAGAUUCAUAAGACUAUAGCAAAUAAAAUAAGAGCUCCAGCUAUCACACCAGAGCUCAGAGCAAAGAUAACAGAAAAGCCCAUCUCUCAGUCUUGUCUUUUGUACAAUUUAGAAACCUAAGUGUCAGGCUUCUGAUUUUGCAUGCUUCUAGGAGCUGACUGGGAUCCUCCAUGUACACCAGAGAAGCCUAUGGAUAUGUCCCCAACUCUUUCCCUCCCGUUGACCCCAAAUCACCAAUAUCUCCCGGGAAAGAGUUUGUACAAAUGCUGCACCCCAGUUUUUGCAACUGUAUUCUUAGGAAUGUAUUCCCACAUCAUCUGAUUCUGAUAGCCAACAGUGUUUCCAUUCAGCAAUACCAUAGGAUUUUAAAAUCAUUUCAAGCAUAUUUUCCAACUAUAAUGGUAUGAAUCUAGAACUCAAAAGAAGACAAAAACUUCACAAAUUUGUGGACAUUAAACAACAUGUCCUUGAACAACAGUAGGUUAAAGAUGAAACUCAGAAAUACCUCAAAAAAUAUCUUGAUAGAAAAAUGGAAACAAUGUAUCAAAAGUUAAGGAAUACAGCAAAAACAAUUCUAAGUAAGAAAUUAUAGUGAUAAAUGUUACCAUUAAGAAAAAAAAGAAAUGAAAUAAACAGCUUAACUUUACACCUCAAGGAACCUGAAAAGAAAAACAAACUAAGCCCAAAUUUGGUGGUAGGAAGGAAUUAACAAAGAUUAGAGCUGAAAUAAGUGAAAGAGACACUAAAAAGAAAAUAAAUAAGAUCAAUCAAACUAAAACCCGGUUUUCUGGGAAGAUAAAAGACAAAUCUUUAGCUAGACUUACCAAUACAAAAACAGAGAAGACUUAAAUAAAUAAUAUUACAACUGAAAGAAGAUACAUUUCACUUGAUAUUACAUAAAUAUAUAGAAUCAUAAGAGGCUACUACGAACAAUUAUAUGCCAACAAUUUGGACAUCCUAGAAGUAAAAAGUAAGUUUCUAGGACACAACUAAUCAUGACUGAAUCACAAAUAAAUAGAAAAUCAGAAUAGACUAAUUGCUAUCAAGGAGAUUAAAUCAGUAAUCUAAAACCUCCUCAAGG
RNAcentral lists this long non-coding RNA (2798 nucleotides) under Canis lupus familiaris (dog). RNAcentral describes it as "lncRNA (ENSCAFG00040013094.1)". The record is from RNAcentral. Lineage: Eukaryota; Metazoa; Chordata; Mammalia; Carnivora; Canidae.